GCGGAGGGUCAUUACACAACAAGUAUGAAGGCCUGGCUUCCCGGCCGGCUGAAGUAUUUUUUUUUUCCACCCAUGUCUUUUGCGCACUUGUUGUUUCCUGGGCGGGUUCCCCUGCCACCAGGACCAAACUAUAAACCUUUUUUCCCAUGCAGUUUCCAUCCCCGUCAGUACAAAAAAACAACGUAAUGAUUACAACUUUCAAAAACGGAUCUCUUGGUUCUGGCAUCAAUGAAAAACCCAUCCAAAUGCGAUACCUAUUGUGAAUUGCAAAAUUCAUUGAAUCAUCGAAUCUUUGAACCCACAUUGCGCCCUUUGGUAUUCCAAAGGGCAUGCCUGUUCGAGCGUCAUUUGUACCUUCAAGCUUUGCUUGGGGUUGGGCGUUUUUGUCUCUCCUUGUGGGAGACUCGCCUCAAAACAAUUGGCAGCCGGCCUACUGGUUUCGGAGCGCAGCACAUUUUCUUGCGCUUGCUAUCAGGAGAAAAGGACGGCAAUCCAUCAAAACUUCUCCAUUGUUAACCUUUGACCUCGGAUCAGGUAGGGAUACCCGCUAAUUUUAAACAUAUCAAUAAGCGGAGGAA
This 578-nucleotide ribosomal RNA is filed under the name Bipolaris sorokiniana. RNAcentral's name for it is "eukaryotic LSU rRNA". The stretch from base 194 to 347 matches the Rfam family "5.8S ribosomal RNA". RNAcentral also lists the same sequence under 1 other name. The record is from RNAcentral. Lineage: Eukaryota; Fungi; Ascomycota; Dothideomycetes; Pleosporales; Pleosporaceae.